CCUACGGGUGGCAGCAGUGGGGGAUCUUGCACAAUGGGGGGAACCCUGAUGCAGCGACGCCGCGUGGGCGAUGGAGUGCUUCGGCAUGUAAAGCCCUAUCAGCAGGGAAGUAAAUGACGGUAACUGACUAAGAAGCACCGACUAAAUACGUGCCAGCAGCCGCGGUAAUACGUAUGGGGCAAGCGUUAUCCGGAUUGACGGGGUGUAAAGGGAGCGUAGGCGGCCAGGGAAGCCGUAUUUGAAAUACGGGGGCCCACCCCCGGGGCUGCAUUGGGAACUGCCAGGCUGGAGUGCCGGAGAGGCAGCCGGAAUUCCUAGUGUAGCGGUGAAAUGCGUAGAUAUUAGUAGGAACACCAGUGGCGAAGGCGGCCUGCUGGACGGGGACUGACGCUGAGGCUCGAAAGCGUGGGGAGCAAACAGGAUUAGAUACCCUAGUAGUC
Molecule: ribosomal RNA, 440 nt
Filed under: uncultured bacterium
Lineage: Bacteria
Description: partial 16S ribosomal RNA
Rfam family: Bacterial small subunit ribosomal RNA
Source: RNAcentral